GACGAACGCUGGCGGCGUGCCUAACACAUGCAAGUCGAGCGGGGUUGAAGCGAGGGGUAACUCAAGCUUCUACCUAGCGGCGGACGGGUGAGUAACGCGUGGGCAACCUGCCUCAAGGUCUGGGAUAACAGCUCGAAAGGGCUGCUAAUACCGGAUAUGCCUAUGGCCUCGCAUGGGGCUAUGAGCAAAGGGGAAACCUGCCUUGAGAUGGGCCCGCGUCCCAUCAGCUAGUUGGUGAGGUAACAGCUCACCAAGGCGACGACGGGUAGCCGGCCUGAGAGGGUGACCGGCCACACUGGGACUGAGACACGGCCCAGACUCCUACGGGGGGCAGCAGUGGGGGAGUCUUGCACAAUGGGCGGAAAGCCUGAUGCAGCGACGCCGCGUGAGCGAAGAAGGCCUCGGUUGUAAGACUCUGUCUGGAGGGACGGAAGGAAGGUAGACGGUACCGUCCCGGACGGGAAGGACCGACCGGCCGUAACUACGUACGCCACGCAGCCGCGGUAAACCGGUAAGUAC
This 519-nucleotide ribosomal RNA is filed under the name uncultured bacterium. RNAcentral's name for it is "bacterial SSU rRNA". It matches the Rfam family "Bacterial small subunit ribosomal RNA", at positions 28 to 535 of the family's 1533-position model. The record is from RNAcentral.